GCCCCCAUCGUCUAGAGGCCUAGGACACCAGCCUUUCAAGCUGGCGACAGGGAUUCGAAUUCCCUUGGGGGCACUA
RNAcentral lists this transfer RNA (76 nucleotides) under Chloroflexota bacterium. RNAcentral describes it as "Chloroflexi bacterium (hot springs metagenome) tRNA-Glu". It matches the Rfam family "tRNA". Rfam says of the family: Transfer RNA (tRNA) molecules are approximately 80 nucleotides in length. The record is from RNAcentral. Lineage: Bacteria; Bacillati; Chloroflexota.